This 253-nucleotide ribosomal RNA is filed under the name uncultured bacterium. RNAcentral's name for it is "partial 16S ribosomal RNA". It matches the Rfam family "Bacterial small subunit ribosomal RNA", at positions 524 to 776 of the family's 1533-position model. The record is from RNAcentral.
GACAGAGGUGCCGAGCGUUAGGCGGAAUCACUGGGCUUAAAGCGUGUGUAGGCGGAUUUGUAAGUACCUUGUGAAAUCCCACGGCUCAACCGUGGAACUGCUCGGUAUACUGCUUAUCUUGAGCCACUUAGGGGCAGUCGGAACAGAUGGUGGAGCGGUGAAAUGCGUAGAUAUCGUGAGGAAGACCAGUGGCGAAGGCGGGUCUCUGGACAGUUCCUGACACUGAGGCACGAAGGCCAGGGGAGCAAACGGG